AGCAGCCGCGGUAAUUCCAGCUCCAAUAGCGUAUAUUAAAGUUGUUGCAGUUAAAAAGCUCGUAGUUGAAUUUCGGGAUCAAUUAGUCGGUCGUGCCUCUGGUACGUACUGGUUUUAUUGGUUCCUCCCUUCUGACGAAACAUGAUGUCAUUAAUUUGGUGUCGUGGAGAAUCAGGACUGUUACCUUGAAAAAAUUAGAGUGUUUAUAGCAGGCUAACGCUUGAAUACAUUAGCAUGGAAUAAUGAAAUAGGACGUUCGACCCUAUUUUGUUGGUUUCUAGGAUCGACGUAAUGAUUAAUAGGGAUAGUUGGGGGCAUUAGUAUUCAAUUGUCAGAGGUGAAAUUCUUGGAUUUAUUGAAGACUAACUACUGCGAAAGCAUUUGCCAAGGAUGUUUUCAUUAAUCAAGAACGAAAGUUAGGGGAUCGAAGACGAUCAGAUACCGUCGUAGUCUUAACCAUAAACUAUGCCGACUAGGGAUCGG
This 483-nucleotide unclassified non-coding RNA is filed under the name uncultured Glomus. RNAcentral describes it as "SSU rRNA". It matches the Rfam family "Eukaryotic small subunit ribosomal RNA", at positions 569 to 1056 of the family's 1831-position model. Lineage: Eukaryota; Fungi; Glomeromycota; Glomeromycetes; Glomerales; Glomeraceae. The record is from RNAcentral.